This 264-nucleotide ribosomal RNA is filed under the name uncultured bacterium. RNAcentral's name for it is "partial 16S ribosomal RNA". It matches the Rfam family "Bacterial small subunit ribosomal RNA", at positions 793 to 1055 of the family's 1533-position model. The record is from RNAcentral.
GUCCACGCCCUAAACGAUGUCAACUGGUUGUUGCACGGCUUGCUGUUCAGUAACGAAGCUAACGCGUGAAGUUGACCGCCUGGGGAGUACGGCCGCAAGGUUGAAACUCAAAGGAAUUGACGGGGACCCCGCACAAGCGGUGGAUGAUGUGGUUUAAUUCGAUGCAACGCGAAAACCUUACCUACCCUUGACAUGUCUAGAAUCCCGAAGAGAUUUGGGAGUGCUCGAAAGAGAGCUAGAACACAGGUGCUGCAUGGCCGUCGU